This 253-nucleotide ribosomal RNA is filed under the name uncultured bacterium. RNAcentral describes it as "partial 16S ribosomal RNA". It matches the Rfam family "Bacterial small subunit ribosomal RNA", at positions 524 to 776 of the family's 1533-position model. The record is from RNAcentral.
UACGUAGGGGGCGAGCGUUGUCCGGAAUUACUGGGCGUAAAGAGCUCGUAGGUGGUUUGUCGCGUUGUUCGUGAAAACCUGAGGCUUAACCUUGGGCGUGCGGGCGAUACGGGCAGACUGGAGUACUGCAGGGGAGACUGGAAUUCCUGGUGUAGCGGUGGAAUGCGCAGAUAUCAGGAGGAACACCGGUGGCGAAGGCGGGUCUCUGGGCAGUAACUGACGCUGAGGAGCGAAAGCGUGGGGAGCGAACAGG